UGUUUAGCCGUAAAUAAACUCACAAUAAAUCGCCAAAGAAUUACAAGCGCAAGCUUAAAACUUAAAGGACUUGACGGUGUCUCAUCCCCCUAGAGGAGCCUGUCCUAUAAUCGAUAACCCCCGAUAAACCCGACUGCUUUUAGCCUAUCAGCCUGUAUACCUCCGUCGAAAGCUUACCUCAUGAGAGAUAAUAUAGUGAGCAAACAGACUUUUCCGCCUCAAUGUCAGGUCAAGGUGCAGCCAACAAAGCAGAAGAGAUGGGCUACAGUUUUUCCUAAAACAAACAGAUGAUCCUAUUAAAUAGGCUCAGAAGGCGGAUUUAGAAGUAAAAAGAAGUCACAGUAUUCUUUUUAAUAUAGGUCCUGAGACAAGU
RNAcentral lists this ribosomal RNA (373 nucleotides) under Hemisus marmoratus (mottled shovel-nosed frog). RNAcentral's name for it is "partial 12S ribosomal RNA". It matches the Rfam family "Bacterial small subunit ribosomal RNA", at positions 839 to 1384 of the family's 1533-position model. The record is from RNAcentral. Lineage: Eukaryota; Metazoa; Chordata; Amphibia; Anura; Hemisotidae.